Molecule: non-coding RNA, 723 nt
Organism: Python bivittatus (Burmese python)
Lineage: Eukaryota; Metazoa; Chordata; Lepidosauria; Squamata; Pythonidae
Source: RefSeq, a predicted model, not a curated record
UAAACUAUUAUUUCAGCUAGAUAUUCCAAGCACUUCCGUCCACUUGGCUUUUGCACCGUCAACGGGAUCUAGAAUUCGGUGAAAAUGUUGUAAUUGAAUCACAGUCCUAAGCAUGUUAACUGGAGAGUCAGUCUUACUGAGGUUAGCCAGAUUUACUUCCGAGUAAACAUGUGGGCUGAAAUAAAUCCGUGUAUGUCAGAAGGCCGUGUCCCCGGAAGGAAGCCUUCUUCCAAGCGGGCUUGUGUCUCCGGGAAGCGCGGCCGCCUCUGAUCGAGAAGUCGGCCAACUCCUGGGAUCCGGGACGGAGCCGAGAAGGGCGGGGGGCGUUGUUGAAGGACAGUCCCCGCUUUGGAGUUGACGCCUAGCGGUGAUAAAAGACGCGGAGGGCGACUUCCUGGAACCGGCGCCGAUCCCCAGGCGGGAUCCGGCAGACUCGCGGAAGGAGGAGCCAGCACGGAAAACAAAGCCCCGCGGCCAGGAUUAGACUGAAAAUACAUCUUGGUGUCCUGGUGGUUCUUAAAAUGAUUUGCUGAAUGGGCUGCUUAAUCAUCCUAACCAAUUGGAGAUCACAUAAAUAAUAUUAUGGUUCCAUUGUUCUACAGAACAUAAGUUGCUGUGCCACACACACGAAAAGUCCUCUUAGAUCAACUAAAGGAUUCACCUUGUGCAAGCCUCUGUUUCAAAUGAUGAGUGACUUCAUUUGGUUUCCAUUGACAUUUUGAC